This 108-nucleotide small nuclear RNA is filed under the name Sorex araneus (European shrew). Lineage: Eukaryota; Metazoa; Chordata; Mammalia; Eulipotyphla; Soricidae. The record is from RNAcentral.
GUGCUCGCUUUGACAGCACAUAUACCAAAAAUAGGAAUGAUACAGAGAAGAUUAGCAUGGCCCCUGCACAAGUAUGACACACAAAUUCGUGAAGCGUCCAUAUUUUAG